This 75-nucleotide transfer RNA is filed under the name Candidatus Peregrinibacteria bacterium CG10_big_fil_rev_8_21_14_0_10_49_16. RNAcentral describes it as "tRNA-Gln". It matches the Rfam family "tRNA". From Rfam's summary of the family: Transfer RNA (tRNA) molecules are approximately 80 nucleotides in length. RNAcentral also lists the same sequence under 1 other name. The record is from RNAcentral. Lineage: Bacteria; Candidatus Peregrinibacteriota.
UGGGGCGUAGCCAAGUGGUAAGGCACCGGGUUUUGGUCCCGGCACUCGGGGGUUCGAAUCCCUCCGCCCCAGCCA